GAUGAAGAACGCAGCGAAAUGCGAUAAGUAAUGUGAAUUGCAGAAUUCAGUGAAUCAUCGAAUCUUUGAACGCACAUUGCGCCCGCCAGUAUUCUGGCGGGCAUGCCUGUCUGAGCGUCAUUUCAACCCUCAUGCCCCUAGGGCGUAGUGUUGGGGAUCGGCCAAAGCCCGCGAGGGACGGCCGGCCCCUAAAUCUAGUGGCGGACCCGUCGUGGCCUCCUCUGCGAAGUAGUGAUAUUCCGCAUCGGAGAGCGACGAGCCCCUGCCGUUAAACCCCCAACUUUCCAAGGUUGACCUCAGAUCAGGUAGGAAUACCCGCUGAACUUAAGCAUAUCAAUAAGCGGAGGA
RNAcentral lists this unclassified non-coding RNA (348 nucleotides) under soil metagenome. RNAcentral describes it as "partial contains 5.8S ribosomal RNA, internal transcribed spacer 2, and large subunit ribosomal RNA". The stretch from base 1 to 120 matches the Rfam family "5.8S ribosomal RNA", at positions 35 to 154 of the family's 154-position model. The record is from RNAcentral.